UGGACAAGUUUGGGAGACUCGGACACCUGUGGCCUAGAGCAGCGGGAGACGCACACUUGCUGCUCACCUCCAGUAGGGGAGGAAGUGCAAUAAACCACUGCCCAGCAGGACUCUGCGUUUUGAGGCCACGGAGAUCAGCCCCAGCCUCCUCGCCCCAGGUCCACACCCCACCCACCCCGCCUUGCGCCCUGGACUUUGGGAGGAAUGUUGAGAAAGUAACCAAGUACAAUGUGAAGUGUAUUAUUGUCAGGGGCAACCUUAGGGGAUACUGAUAAGGAAUUAGGAAGAUCAGAGCGUCAGAGUAAGCUUCAUACCAGUUUAAGUUGAGUAAAGCUCAUUGUUUACUAAGAGUGGGGCAAUGUACAGCUGUAACUUUAAUUCCAUAUGGAAUUGCAAAACCAGUAUAGCUUUGUAGCCCUUUGUUUGCUACUUCCACACUUGCAUUCUCUCUCUCUCUCUCUUUUUUUUUUUUUGGCUCGAUAAUAAACUUCAGUUAUGUUUAUUAAUAAGCGUAUUCCUUUUACUUUUGGUUUCGUAUUUCCCCCAGAGCCUUCGGAGAGGAAGUGAAGAACUCGCAGCUCCGGACCACGCAGUGAAGAAGGGGAGGUAGAGAAACAGUAGGUGCUCUUGGAGUCGCGGGAGAUUUCUCCUGUGCUUAAAGAACUGGGAGGAAAGGACCCACGAUGGUCGUGCAAAGCUCGCAAACUCCAGGAGCAGCACUAAGAGGGUGCAUCCGUGGGACGCCUGGAGGAAACGAGCACAGGUGAAGGCCAUUCUCAGAGGCCAAGGGAGGGUGGAGUGGCUACCACAGUCAGAUGCCUGCUCCCUGCAGCAGUUUCUAUCUACUGCCCAGCUCCCCUCUUGUGCUCUGAAGCAAGACGUUCAGGGGCCUGGACAGUGACUUAGUCCCUGCCAACCCAGGAACCGAGGAAAUCCACUAAACUCCCGGCAAACCUCACUUUGCUCAUCAGCAACGUUCCAAGCAAGGUUGACUGUGGUCUUUGCCCAGGUAUCUUACAUUUUGGCAACUGAUCUCAGGCUGCUAGCUAGGGAGAAGAGAAGCUCGCAGCUUUUCAUCAUCCUGCUUGUUGGGUCUGCAUCACUCAGGGCUUCUAAUUUCCAAGUCUUUAGUACCGCCCAGCUUCCAGCCAGUGUCUUUUAUUUGGAUCGGGGUAUGGCUGCUCCUGGGGCCAUGUGAAUCCCUGCGGUGGCCAUGAGGAGUCCUGAGGUCCUUCCUUUUGGAACUCUGCUCCUGGGAACUACUGCUUUUUUUUUUGGCCAGUGAAGAAAAAUGAUGUCUGAAACUUUCAAUUUCCCUGAGACCGACUGAACUUAAGAUUUCUUAUUUUGGACUACCCCAAUUCUGGGGUCUCGGGUCUAUGGUGCUUCCUGUGCUCGGGGGGUUGGUGCUGUCUCAGUCUCCUAUCGGAUUUGGAAGACUCACGAAGAUAACUAGAUUUGAAAGUCGCUUCUUUUGGUCAUUCUAAAUAUUCUAUUCUAUGCGUUAAAAGCCAUUAUUCCAAGAAAGUUGUACAGGCUUCAACAGGCCCCUAAAACGGGUCCCCACAGAAGAAAGGUUAGCUUGUAUGGGAGAGAAGAUGCAGUGGGGCCAGGCCUCGGCUCCGCCAUGCCUAGACAGCGAUGGAGAAGAUUAUCCAGAGGGAGGUUCAGAGGGAAGAGGGACAGGAUUGUGAGAAUUAAAAGAAAGGUGAUAAAGAUCCCACCUAUUCACUGUGCCUAUUCACUGGCGCCCGUAAAGACAGCUUGUCUCCCCACCUUUGCCCCUCAUGGUGGCCUCCCCAUUCUGGGAAGGCUAUCAUUUUCUACUGCACCUGCCCAGCCUAGGCCCAGUCCUCUCUAACAGGACCAGUGUUGGUUCCCUACAGGUCUCCUUUUGCCAGUGAUCUCUUUUGUGGUCCUAGCAGAGUCAGAAGUAUUGAAUUGUCCCCAGAGAAUAGGAUAUUCAGCCUGGGUAUUGUGAGACCAUCGUGCUGAAAGUAAACCCAGCAGUCCCAGGUCAUUUUUUAUUGUACUCAUUAAGAAACCAAAAACAAAAACCCUUGGUCCAGUUCAUUUGUAAAUGUGGAAAAUGAUCUUCAAGUUAUUUUGAAAUCAGUAACACAUGUGAUUAAACCCUCCUUUGAAAAGGCACUGACAAGAAUCAGUAGUUCGUGUGGAAAAGCCCCGUUUUAAAGGUGGUCUGCUAUAGCCUUCUGUUCACCUGCAGCUAUGACAUGGUUACUGCUCCCAGAUUAGUCUUCUUCCUUUAAACAACCAUAACAAUGACAAAAUAUGUGAGGCACCAGUUUACAGACGUUGGACAGAAGCAAGUGCAAGACUGUGAUCCCUGAGAGAUGGUUCAGAAGAAUUCCUGGUGGUGAUACAGCAAGCUGAAAUCCCAGCAGAGCAUGCUGUUCACAUGGGGAGGAAGAGAUCAGAGUUAGGACAGAUUAGAGCACCAGAAGGGAGAAAACUGUUUAGAGGUCAAUUUUCAGAAUUCCAUACGGGGUCCCUCUGCAGGUUAUUUGCUGAGUGCUGGGCUGCUCAUGUGCAAGAAGGUACUACCCAAGGCUUGCCAGAGGACAGAUGCUACAGGAUGGAGAACAGAACAGAGGUCCUAGAGGUCAUACCAGGCAAUGUUGGAAUUCAAGCUUUGUUAACAACUCUUUACCACUCUGAGCAUCCAGCUGAGACUCUCUCCAGAAAGACUGUACUUUACGAGCACAACCCAUACCCUAAUGUAAAAGGUCUACUGUUGACAGGCCCUAACAAAGCUGCAAACCAAGCCCUGAUAAGAGCUACAGGAGGGACAGUGUUUGGAGGUUGAGUUCCAACAAGUUAGAGGGCUUUGGUAAACACCUUGAGCUUUCCACAGAUUGGCCUUAAAGCCUAAAUCCAGUCCUACACAAGUUCAAGGUAAUCAGCCAGUAAUCAAAAUUGCCGCCAAAUCAAUUCCAACGCAUAGCGACCCUAUAUGACAGAGUAGAACUGCCCCAUAAGGUCUCCUAGAACAAAAAUUGAUACUCUGGAGAAAGAUAUCAGAAUACAUAUCAGAAUACACUACAGUGUAUCAUUCAAAGUGUCUAGUAAUUAAAAAAUACUAAACAUUCAAAGAAACAUGUGACCCAUAUGCAAAGGGAAAAAUAAGUCAACAGAAACCAACGCUUAACUCAAAGAUGUUCCAGAUGCUAGAUUUAGCAGACUUGAAACAGCUAUUGCACACACACACACAGAAAACGUGAUGUCAAUGAGUGAUCUGAUAGACAAUCUCAACGGAGCUGUGAAAACAAUCAAAAGAAACCAAAUGGAAAUUCUAGGACUGCCCAAAGGGCUCAUAAACAAAGUGGCCUUGCAGCAGGGAUAGAAAUUAUGCAUGGGCUCAGUGACAUGGGCUUCCACUCACCAAGGCUAAUCUAGCUACAGCCACUACUGAGUGCCCAAAACCAACAGUGGAAGACAAUUCUGAGUCCCUGAUAUGACACCUGUCUCCAGUGGAGGGGGGCGGGGGACAGGGGGCUAUGAGCCAGCCACAUGAUGGCGGGUUGAGCACACAGGAUCCAUGAUGGCUAAUGUUAUGUAUCAACUUGGUUAGUAUCAACUUGAUUCUCAGUGGUUUGGCAGACUUUGGACAUACUGCUUUUUCAUAAUGUAAUAUAGUGUAAUCACUUCCAUGAUGUGAUCUCAUGUGAUCAGCCAAUCAGUUGUAAGAGGACUUUUCUCAGAGGUGUGGCCUGUAUCCACUAUAUAUGGAUUUUCCCUCACAAAACUUAUCCAACUCCCCCCAGAUUGCCUGAUAAUAGGAGGUGGUCUUUCUAGCCUGGCCAGGGCCCAUCUGAGUCCCUUUAUUAGCAUAAACCUUCAGGUGGUGCUCUGGAGACCUAUAGUAAACAAAUCCAUUGUCCAUUCCAACUCAUAGUGACCCCAGAGGGCAGAGUAGAACUGCCCCAUAGAGUUUCCAAGGAGAGCCUGGUGGAUUCAAACUGCCACAAGGCCACCAGGGUUAACUAGUAAACAAAGGAAUCUCAAUUACUUAGCAAAUUCCCAGGGUUUAGAGUUAUCUCAAGGACCUCUGGUGGGGCAGGGGUUAAGUGCUGGGUUGCUAACCCAAAGGUCAGUAGUCAAUCCACCAGCCACUCCAAUGGAGAAAGUUGUGUCAAUCUGCUUCCACAAGGAUUUACAACCUUGGAAACUCUAUUGGGCCGGUCUACCCUGUACUACAUAAAUGUAUUUAUGAGUUGGAAUCGACUUGACAGCAAUGGUUUGUUUUUUGUUUUUGUUUUGGUGUUGGUUUUUCAUUUAGAGUUCUCUCUCAGAAAACAAGGACAAAGAUCAAAUUCCUUGAAUGAAGUUAAAUUCUUUACCCUACAGUAUACUAUGGAAAACACCUGCAAAUCAGUGAAUGAUAUAUUGAGAAAUUGGAAUGUAAUGCAGGUGGUCAAGCUCUUAGAAAACAGACUGUGGCUGUAUGAGUAUCGGACCUCUGUCUUGUAGCUUCAAGAGCAUGUGGUCAAUUUUGAGUUACAACAGAUGAAGUUAGUCCGAUUUGUCUAGGUGUGUAAAUGUUAAACAUGGUUAAUUGUUUUAUUGUAAAUCUGACAAAUAUUUGCUUGUUGUAAGAAAAGCUUACAAAAAAAAAAAGUGUAUUAGAAGAAAAUGAAAGUGAUCCUGCCUCCUGAACCCACUCCCCACAUAAACCACUGCUGACAUACCUUUAUAUAUUACACAUAGGAAGCUGUGGGGACUUUGGAGUAUAAUAGGUGGGGUUUGGCCAAGGGACCCAGGAAGUUCCAAGUCCUGUCCUGACAAUCAUCUGCCCUCCCUGGGAAUGAGAAGUGGGUGAAGGCAAAGAAAAGGAAAUAAAACUAUCGUUUGCAGAAAUUUCACCUUGGGACAGGAAAGUCUGGUAAAUAAGGCAGAGCUGGUGGUUUAUGACGGAGCUUAAAGAGCUGUGCUGUUGCCCUAAACCCAAAGUGAAUUUUACCUCAUUUCCUGAGGUGUGAAUGAAAUGAUUUUUUUUUUUUUUUUUUUUGCCAUGGAGUUCAACUGAAAGCAACCCUAUAUUACAGAGUAGAACUGCCCCCAUAGGGUUUCCAAGGAGCGGCUAGUGAAUUUGAACUUCCAACCUUUUGGGUUACCAGCCAAACUCUUAAACACUGGCCACCAGGGCUCCAAAUAAAAUGAUAGAAGUCAAUAAAAUAGAGAGGCAGAGAGGGACAAGACCGGUGAGUCCACUCACACAGGUCAACCAUACUCAGGUCCUGUCUGAGGAGGGCCAUGAGAUUAGUCCGUGGAAAAUAGGGAUGCUAAGUGAGUAUUUACACACCUCUGUUUUGUUGAGAUGUGUUGGAAUCGACUCAACGGCAAUGGGUUUGGUUUUUUGUUUUUUAUUGAGAUAGUCAUAUAUGUGAGUUGGAAUCAACUCAACAGCAGUGGCAUUGGGUUUGGUUUUUCAUUGAGAUACUCAUAGAUACAAGUCAAAAGGGACCCGACAGCAAUGGAUUUGAGGCUUGGCAUGGCAUGCAGUCAGCAGCUUCUGAGGGAGUUCCAUGGUGUAAUGGUGAGCACGCUGGACUCUGCAUCUGCAACCGAGUUCAAAUCUCAAUGGGACCUUAGUGUUUAAGACAAAUCAAUAAUGUUUUUUAAAAACUCUUUGAAGAGUGAAUGAAACUUGCUACGCCCCCUUCCGUGUCCCCCUCCUGAUGGUUAUUUAGGAGUGAGAAAGAUUUCAGGCUGGGAGCGAAAAAGCAGGAUGGGAACCCCAGGCUCCACGGAGCGAGAGCUGCUUCAGAUCCCCUCCUGCUCCCCGCGGCCUUCUGUGCCUCACAGCUGUGUCCCCUCCUCCGCUUGUCUCCGCCUCAGAAACUGAGCUUCCAGAAACCCUCAGAAAACAGCUGAGGAAGGAGGAGAGACAGGGAAGAACAGAGGGAGAAUAGGAAAGACAAAGGGAGAAAGUAGGGAAUGGCAGGCAGAGGAAAAGGUCGUUCACCGCAGCAGCGGUUUCUUCAGUUGCUGGAUGUGGGCCACCACAGCUCCUCCCUCAUGAACGUUCGCAUCCCUUCCUGUCCGACCCCAGAACCGGGUUCCACCGAUAAACCUCAAAGCUGCUUGCCUGGCAUUUGUUCUUGCAAAGUUUCCUUUCACUGUAUGGAGGGGUGAGGUGGGUUAAGUUGGUUGGCAAGUGAGUGGAAGCCAAGUGGAGCGCCUUGUGGGUUCCCUUGGUGUUGACUAGCAGGUGGUGCAUCCACCCACCCAAAGGCACACCGUUUUUCCCCUUGAGGGUUGUCUGCAGGGCCUGGAGUGGAAAACUGGAAAAUCAAGGUGCAACGAUGUUUCUUCAGAGUUACGGAGAGAAAUAGCCAGAUAGUUGAUUAUGUGAGUUGAAAGCGAUUAUCUCUGGAAAACAAGAAAUCAUGGGAAGGAAUCAGGGGAGUACUGUUUUUCAUAACAAAAAUAAAAGGGUCAGUGCAAAAGAGGAAGACCCUCAACAAGACGGAUUGACACAGUGGCUGCCACAAUGGACACAAGAAUAACAACAGUUGUGACGACGGUGCAUAACAUGCUGUUGUACAUAGGGUCGCUAUGAGUCCAAACUGACAACGACAACAAAUAAAAAUAAUUUAUCUUUUGGUAGAAUGUUUUUAAAGCUCAUCGUUUGUUAUUUGAAUGGAAAUUUCGAUGUAGUCAUAUGUAUCGCUCUAAAGAUGCUGGAGUUUGUCACAUUCUACAGUCCUUUCACUGUAAGAUUAUAAAAACUUUAUUGGGGACAAUUUGGAAGCAAACUACCAAUCAUCAUUCCCCUUUUCAUGAGCUGGGAAGAUGGACUAAUAAACUCAAAGAUCCUGCCACAUACAACUGUCUCAGUAGCUCAUGCUCUGAAGCAUCAACAACUGAGAGGACUGGACGUGAUCUAGUGUAAACAGUCCUGAGACCAAGGAAAUCCAUUAACCUCUGCAAAUCUCAGCUUCCUCAUCAGCAACUCGCUAAACCUUGCCUUCAGUGUUGGCUCAGAUAUAACUGGGCAAUAUUCCUUGCUAAGGAGAAGAGAAGCCCUCAGUUCUUACUCAUCAACGUAGCUCAGUCCAUAGGCCACACAAUUUCUCAUUUUAAGGUCCUGCACAUUGCCUAGUUUUCAUUGUAUCUACCCUUGAUGGACCUCUUUGGUAUCCAGUGGCUCCUCGGGUGGUACAGAUAGAUCCCUAUGUGCUGUCUCCACAGCGGCCACAAGGAGGGGGCUGGACCCUUCCCCUUGGAACUAUUGCUAUCUAUUCAAGUGUUUUUUUCUGUCUCUCCAGCUGCUCUGUUGGGAGGACUCCAAUUACAUGGAUAUUAGGCCACUUGAUGUUUUCUCACAGGUCAAUCAUGCUCUGUUGUUUUCAUUUUUAGUUCUCUUUUCCCUCUAGGUUUCAUUUUGGAUAAUUUAUGUUGCUAUGUCUCCUACAGUGUCCAAUUAACUGAUAAUAUCGGCCAGCGUAUUUUUCAAUUCUAGAAGUUCUGUUUGAGUCACAUAUAUAUAUGUAUAUACAUAUGUCUUUCAUAUCUCUCCUCAUCAAGCUCAUGCUUUCAUUCAUUUUUCUGAACAUAUGCAGUGUGUUUAUAAUAGCUGUUUUAAUAUUUUGUCUACCGAGUCUAUCAUCUUAAGUUAUGUCUGUGUCUGUUUCUAUUGAUUGGUUUUUCUCAUGGUUAUGAAUCAUAUUUUCCUGCACCAGGAAUCCACUUCUUUGCAUACCCAAUAAUUGUUAUUAGAUGUCAGCUAUUAUGAGUUUCAUGUUAAGUAUUUAAAAAUAUAUAUCCUUUAUAUAAUUCCUUAAAUAUUUUUGGAAUUUGCUCUGGGAUGCCGUUAAGUUGCUUGGAAACAGUUUGAUGCUCUCCAGGCUGGCUUUUAAGCUUUGGUAGGUUUGGAGGUGGGUUUAGAACAUCCUUAGUCUAAGGCUAAUGUGGACACAGUGUUGAGGUAUUACCCUCCUGAAGACUCUCCUUCAUGCCACGUGUAUUAGUUGCUCUUUCCAUUCAGGCUGGUGUGAGCGCACACUCAUAGGGGCUCAGUCUGAGCUCUGUCCUAUACUUCCUGUGGUUCAGUGCCUCCAAAGAGCUGUUUCACAUAUAUUUUGUCUUGUCUUCUAGUAGUUUAAGGUAGAAAAGUAAAUACCAUCUCUGUUACUCCAUCAUGGCCCAGAGAAGAAACCUGUACACUUCUGUUAGAGUUCACAAUUAAGGGGAAAAAAACUUAUCUUCAACGUUAUUUCAUAUCUUCCAUACCUAAUACGCGAACUGUGGUGGCGUAGCGGUUAAGUGCUAAGGCUCCUCACCAAAAGGUCUGCAGUUCAAAUCCACCAGGUGCUCCCUGGAAGCUUUAUGCGGCAGUCCUACUCUGUCCUAGGGGGUCGCUAUGAGUUGGAAUCAACUCGACGGCAAUAGGUUUGGCUUUUCCUGGGUAUACCUAAUAUGUGCCACACACUAUGCUCUGUGGAUUAUUAUAUCAUCCCGUUAACCUAUACAAUAACUCUACGAGACAGUUAAUACUAUUAUUUUCAAUAUGAGACUUGAAAAUUGAAGGAGCUGGCCAGAGGUCAAACAGAAGGCAAGUAGUGGUGCCAGGACUAGAAGGGAGGCCUUCCCAGAGGUAGUGCCCCUAGCUACAGAUCAGACCAAAGAUCUUUGUAAUAACCUUGGUAUAUCUGAUAUGCCUGGAAACCGUAUCCAAGGAGAUUCUAGCCACCGUGUGGAUAGACUCCUUUUGGUCAGAAACUCCUCCCUCAGGGAGCCAGAGCAUAGCUUAGCGCUUAAGCUCUGACUGACUAAAGCCCUUAAACUCUCUGCAAACCCAUGUUUUCUCAUUGCAAAGGCACUGAAAAUGAACUUCGGUCUUAAUUCACAUAUUUUAUAUUUGGGCAAGGGAACCUCCUGCUGCUGGGGAGGAAGUUCAGAGCUCUUCUUCACCGAGCUGUAUCAGUCUGUAGGAUGCACGGCUUGUAGUUUCAACGUCUUCAACACUCACCUUGGCAUCUUGCACGUUUUAGCUGGUUUUCUUUGUACCUGCCCUUGUCUUCUCCCCCUUCCCCUCCCCCCCAGCCCCCCCCCGCCCCGUAGCAUCUUCUGGGGCCUUGCAGAUCUCUGUGUGCUGUGCCCGCAGUAGCCACGAGGGGGCGCCAUAGUCCUCCGUGCCUUUUCCCAGUUUGGCUAGUGAAGAAGGAUUCGAGAUUAUUUCAAUUUACUAAGACCCUGUGGCUCAGAAGUGAGAGCAAGGUGAGAACACACCCCGGGAAGGGUUGGCAAAAUGCCCCCACCUGCCAGCACAAGACCUAGGGUUUUCUUCUAAAGUAUCGUUUGAUAUUCAGCAUUUUCACAUCAGGAAACAUCUGAAGUUAUUUCCGACGGUGAGAAGAUAAUGUUCUAAUUUAUUUAAAUUCCUGGAGGCCCUGGGUGGCAAAAAUAGUCAAACACUCGACUACCAGACCAAAGGUUGGCGUUGCAAAUCCACCCAGAGGCACCUCGGAAGACAGACCGGCAGUCUGCUUCUGAAGGACCACAGCUUUGAAAACCCUGUGGAGCAGUUCUACUCUGCACACAUGUGGUCGUGAUGAAUAGGAAUCGACUUGACAGCAACUAGCAACAACGACAUCUACAAUUUCCACCAUCAUUGAAAGAGAGGGCAUCUUAUAGGGAGUUCCUAAUUUUCCAAUCUCCUGAUGCGUGUCAGGUGCAAAUCUGAGGCAGAGAGAGAGCUCAUGCUGUCUGCCUACAAAGGAGGUACGAGAGGGCUUGAGCAAAGGGGUGGUGGAAGAGGAACCUGGAGCCAGAAAAAUAAAGAGGCUGCUUUUGAGGUGAGGGGUGCUGUAAAAAAAAGUGGGGACAGCGGUAUCAGCAUCAGCGUCUGUCAAAAUUCAAGGGGGUUUUGGGAAUGACCAGGAUCAGCCCAAAGCUCGUUUCCAUGAGGUGGCAGUCAGACAAACCUCUAUCCUCCAACCGUUUUACCAAUUCUGACAGCAGCCAUCCCUCCCGCAGCACUCUGUACUUCUCUUCUGGGUUCGAUGAUCCAUUCCAACGGCCACACAGAACUCACAGACCACACUUACAGUUUAGUGGUUUAUUAAGGAAGUAACAGGGUAUAACUCAGGAUCAGGAUCUGGAAGCACGUAAGCAAAGUCUCCCUUCUUCAGGGCAGGAUAUCUCUCUCAGCUCCUCUCAGCCAUUCGGGGCUUCUCUUGGCUCUGCUGUCUGUCACCACCGAUUCUGACACUGGACCCCUCCCGGGCCGGUCGCCAUCUUCAGCGGUAUACCCCUUGACCUGUGUUACACCUCUUUUAAGAGGUUCUUUACCUGUUCUCUCUCUCUCUCUCUCUCUCUCUGCUGUUUCUCUCUUCUUUCUUCCUGUCUGAAAGACCUCUGUGGGGUUAACUGUAUAUAUAUACAAGUUCCUCAUCAAUUUCAAGGCAUGGCCCUCCCACCGGGGCCAUGAAUUCAACAAGCCCCUCUCAGUAGGCCACAGACACUUCAUUUGCAUAGUAGACUACAGAUACUCUAUUUGCAUAGCCUAUAGUCAUUGUAUUUGCAUGGUACAUUGACCAAUCCUGCAAGGUGCAUACUAAUUACAGGGCAGGCUGCAUGCAGCUCAGGGCCAGACAAAAAGUAUCAAACCUCAAGUUGUUUACAGCUUACUCAGGAAAUGUCAAGCAACCUGAACAAAAGUAACAAACCCUGGGGGUAGAAAACUAGGGCAAAAGUUAACUCCUCAGGCCUUCGUGGGGGUGGGGGGUGGGGAGGAGGAAUCUCUCAAGCUCUUUUACCAAAGAACCAAGGCAACAGGUCACGUAAAGGAUCUCGUGUCACCACAGGUGUGUUGGCGUGUUAUCUGGAGAGAGCUGUCUGGCAAUAGAUGUAGGACUUGGGAGCAAGACCUCAAGCAGGGCAGCUGUCACCCAAGGAAAGAAGACUGAGGGAAGUUUAGGUAUUUAAAGGGCAUUUGAUGAAGUGUUGCCACCUGGUUUGUGAUACCAAUGCUCUUUCUCAUCUCUACAAAGAAGGCAUCAAAGUGGGCUUGAUGCGCUUGUUAUGCAUGGUGGGUAUGAAUAUGGAAUUAGAUACAUAAAUUUUUUUUUUUUUUUUAGUCAUAUUAAAAUACUCAUCCUUGUACCACCUAAAAUUAUCUCAAGUACUACCAGUGCUACCCAUACCACAUACAGGGAAACUGGCUAUUUAAAAGAAGAAAAAAAGAGAAAAAAAAAAGAGCCCCACCUGGGGGUACAAAGUUACUUGCUGUGAUGGACUCUCCUAAUGCGACCUCUCCGGCCAAGGGCACAAAAACCACUAAGUACCAAGGAAACGUAGCCCAUCGUAAUUCUUCCGAGAAGAAUUAGAGAGCUAGACGGAUCUCCAAAAACUAUUGCAGGCACCCUCUCUCUCAUUUACAGACAGAGAAGCUGGUUCUGAGUUGAGGUCCGUGACUUCCCCAAGGCAUGUGGCAAGGCUGGUGCUGAUGGAGCAAGUUCUUGGUCCCCCUGAGUCUGGGAAGAUGUUGCUAGGAUGCAGGUGGAUUCACUCAGGACAAGGCCCCAGCACAAGAGCCUACUGGUGGGACAUUUGAGACUGAGACCCAGGAUCUUAGGGCUGUAUAUUUUCAGAGCGAUCCUACCAGAAAGCCCAUUCUUAUACUCUCAGGUCAAUGAGGAAUUUCAAGUCUCUGUCCUUUUACUAAGAUUGAUGUUCCAGUCUCCAAACCCUGGGCACUUUUUUCUACCUUACACCUUUUUUCUUAGAUUUUUAAGCAGAUUUUGGCACCUGAAAUUCUCAGGAGUAAAGGGAUUACAGCUAAUUUCUUUCAACAUCGAUUGAAUUCACCUGACGUCUUCACGGGCUGGUUGGAAUCCACAUUCUUUCCUCCUUUUUUUUUUUGCUUCACUGUAAACUAUAACGCCACGGCAAUCUCAGUAUCAAUUUCUCUGUGGAAAAGAAUCUAGCUAAGCAAUCAAGAAAUGCACAUAAAUUGCAGGGAUUUAUUGUAAUAGAAUAGAAGUCUGACAAGCAAACAAAAUGCUUUGACUGUUCAGCAACUGACCACCAAUCUCUGGGUGUCUUCAUGUGACUUGAGGGUCUGAAAUUUAAGUCAACAGGAGCUGGAGCUUCUUGAAGCUGGAAAUCAUUUAUGAGGAGGAACAUGUCUUUGCUACUGAGGACUGUGGGUUCUGGGCAAACCUAAAAAUACAAACCCCAAAGUCAUUGACUGAGUCUGGAUUGAGAUAAUGGAUAAAGUCAGAGACCACAAUUAGUAGCUAAUGAAGAACUUUGAAAGAAAGGGAAAGCUGUAUGCAAAGGUACUCUCCACCUGUCAUCUCCUAUAGGUUCUGGUUCUUCUCUGCAUAGAGAAGAGUAUUUGAAUUCUUAGUGACACCUGGCCGUGGACCUCCACGCAGGGCCAGCCUCAUCAUGGGCACGUGACCUGUACAGUCACCGAGGGCCCCACACUCAGAAGGAUCCUCACGCUUGGUUUAAUGUUCUGCUGUCAUCAUCUUGGAAUUAUUUAUAAGUUUAUCUUUGAACUUGUGUUUUGUAAGUGAAAUUCAGUUAGACAAGGAAGCGGGCACGUGAGUAGAGGAAAUGCGCACAAUACAUCUAUCUGCCCCAGUUCCUCACUGGCUCAUUUACAUACAGCAAUCUUGAUAACCCCAUGAGCACAGAAUUAAGGUGCACCGACAAUGCAUGCAGGUUCAGCGAGACUGAAAGUCACUUCUAGGUGUCAAGCACAAGACAAGGCAGAGUCAAGGCAUGACAGAUUCAGACGGAAAAGAAAAAAAAAAAAAAGAUCCUUUUUUACAUUCAGAUAGUUUAUUACUUACACGGGCAGUGAAGGGAAAAGCUGUAAAAGGUGCCAGCUCCUCAUGGCCCUCUCCUAAGUCGACACUCAAAAAAGGUGGCCAGAUCACUGCAACAGAAGUAAUUGGAAGCUCUGUUGCUGAGGAGUCAAUGCCUCGCUGCAGCUGAGCAGUUUUAUGUCCUAUGGCUGUGCCCUAAGGAGGGCUAGGUGAAAAGUCCCACUCCUCACUGGAAGCAGGGAGGUGGACGGGAAAACUGUCUAGCGGCGGCCUCCCACAAGAAAGAGAGGCAGAUGAGAAAAGGGUCAAGCUCCUCACAAGACUGUCUGUCCUAUGUUCCUGGGCGGAGGACUUGGUGUCUUGGUCAUCUAGUGCUGCCGUAACAGAAAUACCCCAAGUGGAUGGCUUUAACAAAGAGAAGUUUAUUCUCUCACGGUCUCGUAGGUUUCAAGUCCAAAUUCAGGGUGUCACCUUCAGGGGACGGUUUUCUCUCUCUGUCGGCUCUGGACGAAGAUUCCUUCUCACCAAUCUUCCCCUGGGUGGGGAGCCUCUCAGGCGCAGGGACCCCAGGGUCCAAAGGACACGUUCUGCUCCUGCUGCUGCCUUCUUGGUGAUAUGAGGUCCCCAUUCUCUGCUUCUUUCCGUUUGCUUUUAUCUCUUUAUAUCUUCUCCCUCCCACACCCCAGGGAAACUCCCUUUACCUUGGAUCAGGGAUGUGACCUGGGUAAGGGUGGUGUUAAGAUCCCACCCUAAUCCUCUUUUGACAUAAAAUUACAAUCACAUAAUGGGGGACAAACACAGAAUACUGGGAAUCAUGGCCUAACCAAGCUGACACCUGUUUUGGGGUGGGGGGGGGGCGGGGGAGACACAAUUCAAUCCAUGACACUUGGGUUCUGGCCUAUGUGGACAUGUACAAGGUGGGCAGAACACCAUGGCAGAGCCGCUCCCCUCCCUCCAGGGGUGUGUCUAAAACUGAUGGGAGCACUAAGAGCCCUGGGGAGAAAUGCUGUCUUGUCAACUAGAACUUGUUUCAGGAUCUUCAGGCUGUGAAAACAGACAGGAUUUUUUUUACUGACAUUAAGAAGAACGUCAGCCACGGACUUCUCCCUCCCUCUAGUGUUAGGGAUUGAAUUGUGUCCCCCAAAGAGAUAUCUUGGAAGUUCUAACCCCUGUACCUGUGAACGUGACCUUUUUGGGGGUAAUAAGGUCUUUGUUUGAAGAUAAACCCACUGCGGUGGAGUCAGUUCCGACUCAUAGCGACUGUAUAGGACCAAGAAGAAAACUGCCCCAUAGGGUUUCCGAGGCUGUAAAAUCUUUUUUUUUUUUUUUUUAAUUGCUUUUUAGGUGAAAGUUUACCGCACAAAUUAGUUUCUCGUUCAAAAAUUUAUACCCAAAUUGUUUUGUGACAUUGGUUGCAAUCCUCACAACGUGUCAGCAUUCUCCCCCUUUCCCUUUAGGCCCCGGGUUCCCCGUGUCUUUUCCUCCAGGUUUCCUGUCCUUUCCUGCCUUCUCGUCUUUGCUCUGGGGCAGGUGUUGUCCAUUAGGUCUCCUAUACUUGAUUGAACUAAAGCUCAGUCCUCACAUAUGUUAUUGUUUGUUUUCUAGGCGUGUCUACUCCUUUUGUUGUUGUUUGUUCUUUUUUAAAAAAUUGUACUUUAGAUGAACGUUUACAGAGCAAACUAGCUUCUCCUUAAAAAAUUAAUACACAUAUUGUCUUGUGACAUUGGUUGCCAACCCCACAACACAUCAGUGCUCUCCCCUUCUCCACCGUGGGUUCUCCAUGACCAGCUUUCCUGUCCCCUCUUGCCUUCUUGUCCUUGACUUAGUGUUUCUCCAGUCUCUGUCAGACCAGUAAGUUUGGUCUUCUUUUUUCUGAGUCAGAAUGUUGUUCUACAUUUUUCUCCGGCUCUGUCUGGGACCCCCUGUUGUGAUUCCUGUCAGAGCAGGUGGUGGUGGUAGCCCGGCACCAUCUACUUGUGCUUGACUCAGGCUGUGGUACUUGUGAUCCCUUAGGCUUUUGGACUAACCUUUCCCUUGUGUCUUUGGUUUUCUCCAUCCUCAAGGCUGUAAAUCUUUACCAGAAGCCGACUGCCACUUCUUGCUCCCACUGUUUGAAGACAGUUACCAGUAAAAUAAUACCAGAGAAGGGUGAGUCCUAGUCCUAAUCCUUUCCAAGUGCUGUUUCAUAAAACAGAAGAGAUGCGCAGUGAGGGUCAGGCACAGAAGGAAGAUACCAUGUGAGCAAGAUCUCUCACAGACCAAGGAAGGCCAAGAAAUCGAACUCCCGGGCACCACCGACAAGGAAGGCUCUUUCCCCCAGGAGCCCACAGGUAGGAUAGCCCCGCCGACUCUCUAAAUUGGGACGGACUUCUCUUCUAGUCCCUAGAGCGCUGAGGUAAACAAACACGCGCUCUGAAAACCAGAAACUUAGCUGCACUUUCAUUGUAGCAGGCCUCCGUGAGAAACUUGGAGCAAUGCUACCAAUGACCCAGUAAAGAACCUCAGCCUUCUUUUGAGCGGGUCUCUCGGUAACUAAGGAGCAAAGUGGUUUUGUCACACAUGGGCAGAUUCCAACUAAGGAGCGCUUCGCGUUUUCGUCACACAUAAGUCAUACGUAAAGAGACUGCUCCAUCUGUGCUGAUGAGGCGCAAUUGGACAACUUGGCCAGAGACAAAAGCUGGAAAAAAAGGAAAACACGUAGCUCCGCGAAAUACCCAGUUGUUAAGAAACAAAUGCAGGAUGGAACCACAGCGGAUCUACCUUUGAAAAACAACAAAGAUCAGGGGAAAGCGCGAACGCAGUCCCCCACUACCACAAAUUAUGCAGUCGAGUUUCCCACAUUUGGGGAAAUCGCAGGGGUCAGCACAUCCGGAGUGCAAUGGAUAAGCCUCGCCCUGGGAAAACCACCUUCGUGAUCAUGGUAUCUCCCCUGCCAGGUAAGUAUGACUAGUUCCUCUGCCGCCCCCACGCAGCCUCGCACUCCUUACACUUUACGCAGACGGUCAUUUCGCUAGCCUCACUCCCGGACCCUCAGAGCCCUUCUACGCUCCUACAGCACACAAUUUCACGGACAGACCUGGACUCCUUCCCACACCACCAACAGUCGUAACGUCUUUAAGCAGCACACGCCGAUCCAGCAGCCACUGCGCUGCCACUAUCUACAUAAGACAGUGCCCCGUCAGUGACAUCACCGACCGCGCUCUUCCCGCCUACCCACGGCCCGCCCCCUCCCCGCGUUUUCCUCCUCCCGUCCCUCCCAGACGGCCAAUGAGCGGGCCGGCAGCCCGAGGAAGAAGUGACGUCUCCCUUCCCCCUCCCCAACGGCCACCGUUUACGCGGCGAGCGGAGCCGGGGGCUUGGCCCAGCCGCGUCUCUCCCGGACUGCGCGGCUUCUUCACCUCUCCUUCCCACACCUCUUGGGCGUUCGGCUGGAGCCUGUGCAACCUUCUCGGAAUAAUGAGUGGCUCUUAACACGUAGAAUAGAGCAGAAAUUGAUAUUAGCCCUGCCUCAAAAUCAUUUUUUUCCAUGGCAUAAAAGGUAUCCUUUUUUUUUCCGAAGGCACCUUAAGGAGACCAAGACAAGUGUGUUACCGAGAGAAUUUGCAGCCAUCCACGGAUCACAAAAAGAUGUUUAAACACGUUUUGUGUGGAAUACACCCGUGCAUGUAUGAACUGGAACCCUAGCAGCAGUACUUUUUGACUUACCCUCCUGUCGCUCAGGGACAUGGGUUACACUUUUCACAAUGUGUCAGCCUUCUCGUUAUUUCCUUUGUGAUGGUUCUGUUUCCAUCACUUCCCUGCCCCUCCUUACCUUCUCAUCAUCGGCCUGGGGUAAAUUUUGACCCGUUAGGUCUCAUUAUUUAGAGGAGCACGGUAGUCGCAGGUGAUAUUAUUUAUUUUAUGAGCCACUCUGUCUUUUGGCUGGUAAGGGAACACCAGGAGUGGUUUGAGAUCCAAGUAUAAGGGCUAUCCCAGGGCGAUAGUCUCAGGCGUUCCUCUAGUCUCUACCGGUCCAGUAAGUAUUGACUUUUUUUAGGAAUUUGAGUUUUGUUUUACGUUUUCGUUCCAUUCUAUCCUGGACCAUCUAUUAUAUCCCUGGUCAGAAUGGUCGGUAAUUGUAGCCGAGCACCAUCUCGGUAUUCUGCUCUCAAGGUAGAUGAGGCUGUGCUUCGCUUAGACUAUGAGUCCUGUAGACUAGUGUCUUCUUUGAGUCUUCGGUUUCCUUUUUCUCUUUUGCUCCUCUUUAUUUAUUCUUAAGAUAAAAAUCCCCUGGGACAACUUCUUGGCAUUUCGACCAAACGGAGUCAAAAAACCUGUCAUCACCCUACAGUGAAGCUCAAAGUUGGCAAAUUCCACUCACUCAGGGCUUUCUAUCUGCUUUUUAGGUCUCUGCUCUCAACUAGAGAUGACCAGAUUUACCUGAGAAAAUCAUCUCAUAUCAGUCACGGCUCUGACAGGAAACAGAAGCUACAUUCAAACUGAGUGAUUUAAAGGGAGUCUUAUGAAAAAAAGGGAAUAUUUAAUCCUGUGAGAAGUGCUGGCAGGAUUAAAAUAAUUCAGUAUAGGACAGUGAAGCAUCUCGGGUCUGGAAACAGUAGGAUGGCCAUUAACACCUCCAGGCCUGGGUGGGGGGGAGGAGGGAAGUUGGAGGAGUCUUUACUAGACCCUGGAAGACCCGGAGCCUUGGGGAGGAUCACAGGACAGGACUGUAGUCUCUGGAAGGGGAAUCAGCAAGUGACCGCCAGACCUAGCCCUGGCAGGUAGGGACCCCUAAAAAAAAAAAAAAAAUUGGGGGGGGAUUUAAAAAUACCAGGAAUUCUCUCUGUUCCUACCCAUUGAUUACCUUCCUCUACCUCCCCUUGGCUACAACCAACAGGAGCCAUGAGGGCAAGGAAAUCCAAGACUGCCUGUGGAGAUCAGAUUUAGUUGUUCCUUCCUUGCUCUUUCUGCUUUUUUUCCUUAGAAAUAUUUUUGACGUUGUUCCUACAACUCUACUCCCAUUAUUACGGUUUUAAUUUCCAAGGUAUUUUUUCGCUGAAUGCUCCUUUCUCUUUUUUUAUUUUUUCAUCACGCUUUCGGUGAACGUUUACAGCUCAAGUUAAUUCCUCAUACAAAGAUUUAUACACACAUUGUUAUGUGACACUAGUUGCCAUUCCCACAAUGUGACAGCACACUCCGCUCCUCCACCCCGGGUUUCCUGUAUCCAUUUAACCAGCCCCCUCGCUUUCUGAGUUCCCAUUCAGCCUCUGGACAGAAGCCACCCAUUCAGUCUCAUGUAUCUGCUUGAAUCAAGCAGCACACUCCUCAGGAGUAUCAUUUUACGAUUUAUAGUCCAGUUCUAAUGAAGCCACCGCCCAGGCUUCCCCUGCUCCUCCGCAGUUUCCUUCACUCCUCGUAGCCCGCCAAGCCCCAGUUUCUACCUGAGGCUUGGCCCGACCGCUCCACCGGCCAUAACCGCGGUUUGAAUUUGGCGCCAAAAUCCGGAGCAUGCGCAAACCAAGAGCAGCAGUGGCUCCAAACGUGACUCCGGACCUGAACUUCCCUGGAAAGGAAGAUGUUCUCCUGCACACAGCUGCACCUGAGCCAAUUUGCAAAGCGAAAGUUUCUUUCCCUUACAGACUUGACUCAGAACCUGGAUCUCCAAAUGUGGACAUGGGAGGGAUGGGGUGUUGGAUUUUGUGCGUCAGUCCUGCCCCCCUGGGGACUGGAGGGCAUAAAAGCUCCAAGCUCCCCUGGGGCUGGGAGUGCUGUGCUUUUUUCCGCUGCUAGGCCCCACGAGCCUUGCUCCUUGUUUUCGCAGACAAUAAGUUUCCACUUUCUGUUUCCCUUGCAGCUGGUGGUGUGGUAUCCGCUUUAUCUCAAUCAGCUAAUAGGACAGGACAAGAACCCUCGUUUGAUUACGCCAAGAGUUAGCCUCAGGAAUGGCUCCAGUUCUGGGCUAACAGAGCUUCCGGGGCAUGUCCUCGAAGGUGCCUCCAGUCUCGGUCAGACCAUCGAGUCUGGUCUUUUGAAGUGAAUCUGAGUUCUGCGCCACACUUUUCUCCGGCUCCCUCAGGGACUCUCUGUUGUGUUCCCUGUCAGGGCGGUCAUUGGUGGUAGCCGGGCACCAUCUAGUUCUUCUGGUCUUAAGCUGAUGGAGUCUCUGGUUUAUGUGGCCCUUUGGUCUCUCGGGCUAAUAUUUUCCUUGCGUCUUUGGUGUUCUUCAUUCUGCUUUGUUCCAGGUGGGAUGGGACAAAUUGGUGCAUCUUAGAUGGCCCCCCCACAAGCUUUUAAGACCCCAGAUGCCACACGCCAAAGUGCAGAACAUUUUCUUAAUAAACUUUGUUAUGCCAGUUGACCCUAGAUGUCCCCCAAAACCAUGGUCCCCAGCCCCCAGCCCCUGCUAUUCUGUCCCUCAAAAUGUUUGGUUGUGUUCAGGAAACUUCUUAGCUUUUCUUUGCUCCAGUUGUGCUGACUUCCCCUGUAUUGUGUGUUGUCCUUCUCUUCACCUCGGAUAGUUUUUGUCUACUAUCUAGUUAGUGAAUUCCUGUCUCCCUUCCUCCCCACAUUCGUAGCCAUCAAAGAAUGUCUUCUUCUGUGUUUAAACCUUUUCCUGAGUUCUUAUAAUUGUGGUCUCACGCAAUAUUUCUCCUUUCGUGAUUAAUUUCACUCAGCAUAAUGCCUUCCCAAUUCAUUCACGUUGUGAGAUGUUUCUCAGAUUCCUCAUUGCUCUUUAUUGUUGCGUAGUAUUCCACUGUGUGUAUAUACCAUAAUUUGUUUAUCCAUUCAUCUGUUGAUGGGCAACUGGAUUGGUUCCCUCUUUUUGCUGUUGUGAACAGUGCUGCAAUGAACCCACCACCCAGUGCCGUCAAGUUGCAUGGAUGUGCAUAUAUCUAUUCAUGUGACAGCUCUUAUUUCUGCAGGAUGUAUUCCAAGGAGUGGGAUUGCUGGAUCGUAUGGUACUUCUAUUUCUAGCUUUUUAAGUAAGCGCCAUACUGAUUUCCAAAUUGGUUGUACCAUUUUACUUCCCACCAGCAGCGUAUAAGUGUCCUAGUCUCUCCACAACCUCUCCUACAUUUAUUAUUUUGUGUUUUUUGGAUUAGUGCUAGCCUUGUUGGGGAGAGAUGGUAUCUCAUUGCAGUUUUCAUUUGCAUUUCUCAAAAAAAAAAAUUUUUUUUUUAAGGGCUAAUGAUCGUGAGCAUUUCCUCAUGUAUCUGUUAGCCGCCUGAAUGUCUUCUUUGGUGAAGUGUCUGUUCAUAUCCUUUGCCCAUUUUUUAAUUGGGUUAUUUGUCUUUUUGUUGUUGAGGUUUUGCAGUGUCUUGUAGAUUUUAGAGAUUAGACCCUGAUCGGAUAUGUCAUAAAAAAAAAAAAAAUGUCAUAGCCAAAAAAUUUUUCCCAGUCUGUAGGCUGGCUUCUUGCUCUUUUGGUGGUGUCUUUUGAUGAGCAUAAGCGUUUGAUUUUUAGGAGCUGCCAGUUAUCUAGUUUCUCUUCUGGUGUUUAUGCAUUGUUAGUUAUGAUUUGUAUUCUGUUUAUGCCAUGCAUUAGAGCUCCUAGCUCCUAGUCGCUAUUUGUUCUUCCAUGAUCUUUGUCGUUCUAGAUUUUAUAUUUAGGCCUUUGGUCCAUUUUGAGUUAGUUUUUGUACAUGGAUACCUUGUUUCAUUUUUUUUUGCAGAUGGACAUCCAGGUCUUGUUUAAUUUUGUCCCAGAUGGAUGUCCAGGUCUUGUUUCCUUUUUUUGCAGAUGGAUAUCCAGGAAUGCCGGCAGCAUUUGUUAAACACACUGUCUUUUCCCCAUGUUACAUGUUGACUCCCUUUAAAUCACUCAGUUUGAAUGUAGCUUCUGUUUCCUGUCAGAGCCGUGACUGAUAUGAGAUGAUUUUCUCAGGUAAAUCUGGUCAUCUCUAGUUGAGAGCAGAGACCUAAAAAGCAGAUAGAAAGCCCUGAGUGAGUGGAAUUUGCCAACUUUGAGCUUCACUGUAGGGUGAUGACAGGUUUUUUGACUCCGUUUGGUCGAAAUGCCAAGAAGUUGUCCCAGGGGAUUUUUAUCUUAAGAAUAAAUAAAGAGGAGCAAAAGAGAAAAAGGAAACCGAAGACUCAAAGAAGACACUAGUCUACAGGACUCAUAGUCUAAGCGAAGCACAGCCUCAUCUACCUUGAGAGCAGAAUACCGAGAUGGUGCUCGGCUACAAUUACCGACCAUUCUGACCAGGGAUAUAAUAGAUGGUCCAGGAUAGAAUGGAACGAAAACGUAAAACAAAACUCAAAUUCCUAAAAAAAGUCAAUACUUACUGGACCGGUAGAGACUAGAGGAACGCCUGAGACUAUCGCCCUGGGAUAGCCCUUAUACUUGGAUCUCAAACCACUCCUGGUGUUCCCUUACCAGCCAAAAGACAGAGUGGCUCAUAAAAUAAAUAAUAUCACCUGCGACUACCGUGCUCCUCUAAAUAAUGAGACCUAACGGGUCAAAAUUUACCCCAGGCCGAUGAUGAGAAGGUAAGGAGGGGCAGGGAAGUGAUGGAAACAGAACCAUCACAAAGGAAAUAACGAGAAGGCUGACACAUUGUGAAAAGUGUAACCCAUGUCCCUGAGCGACAGGAGGGUAAGUCAAAAAGUACUGCUGCUAGGGUUCCAGUUCAUACAUGCACGGGUGUAUUCCACACAAAACGUGUUUAAACAUCUUUUUGUGAUCCGUGGAUGGCUGCAAAUUCUCUCGGUAACACACUUGUCUUGGUCUCCUUAAGGUGCCUUCGGAAAAAAAAAGGAUACCUUUUAUGCCAUGGAAAAAAAUGAUUUUGAGGCAGGGCUAAUAUCAAUUUCUGCUCUAUUCUACGUGUUAAGAGCCACUCAUUAUUCCGAGAAGGUUGCACAGGCUCCAGCCGAACGCCCAAGAGGUGUGGGAAGGAGAGGUGAAGAAGCCGCGCAGUCCGGGAGAGACGCGGCUGGGCCAAGCCCCCGGCUCCGCUCGCCGCGUAAACGGUGGCCGUUGGGGAGGGGGAAGGGAGACGUCACUUCUUCCUCGGGCUGCCGGCCCGCUCAUUGGCCGUCUGGGAGGGACGGGAGGAGGAAAACGCGGGGAGGGGGCGGGCCGUGGGUAGGCGGGAAGAGCGCGGUCGGUGAUGUCACUGACGGGGCACUGUCUUAUGUAGAUAGUGGCAGCGCAGUGGCUGCUGGAUCGGCGUGUGCUGCUUAAAGACGUUACGACUGUUGGUGGUGUGGGAAGGAGUCCAGGUCUGUCCGUGAAAUUGUGUGCUGUAGGAGCGUAGAAGGGCUCUGAGGGUCCGGGAGUGAGGCUAGCGAAAUGACCGUCUGCGUAAAGUGUAAGGAGUGCGAGGCUGCGUGGGGGCGGCAGAGGAACUAGUCAUACUUACCUGGCAGGGGAGAUACCAUGAUCACGAAGGUGGUUUUCCCAGGGCGAGGCUUAUCCAUUGCACUCCGGAUGUGCUGACCCCUGCGAUUUCCCCAAAUGUGGGAAACUCGACUGCAUAAUUUGUGGUAGUGGGGGACUGCGUUCGCGCUUUCCCCUGA
Long non-coding RNA from Loxodonta africana (African savanna elephant), 22309 nucleotides. RefSeq lists it as uncharacterized. The record is from RefSeq and is a predicted model, not a curated record. The transcript has 2 exons. Lineage: Eukaryota; Metazoa; Chordata; Mammalia; Proboscidea; Elephantidae.